Molecule: non-coding RNA, 73 nt
Organism: Angiostrongylus cantonensis (rat lungworm)
Lineage: Eukaryota; Metazoa; Nematoda; Chromadorea; Rhabditida; Metastrongylidae
Source: Rfam
GGCGCUGUGGCGUAAUGGAUAAGGUGUCGGUAUCCUAAACCGAUGAUUCAAGGUUCGAGUCCUUGCUGGGUGG